GACGAACGCUGGCGGCGUGCUUCACACAUGCAAGUCGAACGGAAAGCCGCUGCUUUUGUGGGGUGCUUGAGUGGCGAACGGGUGAGUAACACGUGAGUAACCUGCCCUUGACUGUGGGAUAAGUUCAGGUAACUGUGGCUACUACUAGAUGCGAGGUCCUGCUGCUUGGUGGGGGUUGGAAGGUUUCGGCGGUUGGGGAUGGACUCGCGUCUUAUCGGCUUGUUGGUGGGGUAGUGGCUUACCAAGGCUUUGACGGGUAGCCGGCCUGAGAGGGUGACCGGCCACCUUGGGACUGAGAUACGGCCCAGACUCCUACGUGAGGCAGCAGUGGGGAAGAUUGCACAAUGGGCGGAAGCCUGACGCAGCAACGCCGCGUGCGGGAUGACGUCCUUCGGGUUGGAAACCGCUUUCGCCUGGGACGAAGCGUGAGUGACGGUAAUGAGAAAAGAAGCACCGGCUAACUACGUG
RNAcentral lists this ribosomal RNA (468 nucleotides) under uncultured bacterium. Its description in RNAcentral is "partial 16S ribosomal RNA". It matches the Rfam family "Bacterial small subunit ribosomal RNA", at positions 28 to 507 of the family's 1533-position model. The record is from RNAcentral.